GGAAGAUUGGCAGAGAGGCUUAUUGCACCAGUUUGCUAAAUUGGAGUACGAAAGUACCGCAGGUUCGAAUCCUGCAUCUUCCU
Molecule: transfer RNA, 83 nt
Filed under: Papillibacter cinnamivorans DSM 12816
Lineage: Bacteria; Bacillati; Bacillota; Clostridia; Eubacteriales; Oscillospiraceae
Rfam family: tRNA
About the family: Transfer RNA (tRNA) molecules are approximately 80 nucleotides in length. Their secondary structure includes four short double-helical elements and three loops (D, anti-codon, and T loops).
Source: Rfam by way of RNAcentral